RNAcentral lists this ribosomal RNA (457 nucleotides) under uncultured bacterium. RNAcentral's name for it is "partial 16S ribosomal RNA". It matches the Rfam family "Bacterial small subunit ribosomal RNA", at positions 338 to 795 of the family's 1533-position model. The record is from RNAcentral.
CCUACGGGUGGCUGCAGUGGGGAAUAUUGCACAAUGGGGGAAACCCUGAUGCAGCGACGCCGCGUGAGUGAAGAAGUAUUUCGGUAUGUAAAGCUCUAUCAGCAGGGAAGAAAUAAAGUCCUUCGGACUUUGGACGGUACCUGACCAAGAAGCCCCGGCUAACUACGUGCCAGCAGCCGCGGUAAUACGUAGGGGGCAAGCGUUAUCCGGAUUUACUGGGUGUAAAGGGAGCGUAGGCGGUAAGGCAAGUCUGAUGUGAAAGGCCAGGGCUCAACCCUGGGACUGCAUUGGAAACUGUUUAGCUGGAGUGUCGGAGAGGCAAGUGGAAUUCCUGGUGUAGCGGUGAAAUGCGUAGAUAUUAGGAGGAACACCAGUGGCGAAGGCGGCUUGCUGGACGAUGACUGACGCUGAGGCUCGAAAGCGUGGGGAGCAAACAGGAUUAGAUACCCUUGUAGUC